Molecule: small RNA, 114 nt
Filed under: Labrenzia sp.
Lineage: Bacteria; Pseudomonadati; Pseudomonadota; Alphaproteobacteria; Hyphomicrobiales; Stappiaceae
Description: Guanidine-I sequence
Rfam family: Guanidine-I riboswitch aptamer
About the family: This family represents a conserved RNA structure found upstream of the ykkC and yxkD genes in Bacillus subtilis and related genes in other bacteria. The function of this family is unclear although it has been suggested that it may function to switch on efflux pumps and detoxification systems in response to harmful environmental molecules.
Source: RNAcentral
GUGCAGCGCGCCUAGGGAUCCGGUCGGAAACGACGCAGGACCGAGAGGUGCAAGCCGGACGAGGGUGUAAGCCAACAUAGUCCGGUAACACGGCGGGAUAAAAACCCGGGAGAC